Molecule: long non-coding RNA, 835 nt
Organism: Mus caroli (Ryukyu mouse)
Lineage: Eukaryota; Metazoa; Chordata; Mammalia; Rodentia; Muridae
Source: RefSeq, a predicted model, not a curated record
CUGUGAUUGGUACCUCCUCUGGGGACUGUGGGACUGUCUGCCAAGUUUGCACCCACAGUAGACCAGCACUAACCACAAAAGCCUAGGAUAACUGCCAUCUGGAAGGCUUCACCCAACAACUGAUGCAAGCUGAUGCUGAGACCCAUGACUGAACAUUAGGUGUAGCUUGGGUAAUCCUGUGGGAGAUAGAAGGAUUAAGGAAGCCAGGGACGUCAAGGACACCACAGGGACAUCUAUAAAAUCAAGUAACCUGGGCCAGUAGGGUCUCACAGAGACUGAACCACCAAUCAAAAAGCAUGCAUGGGACAGACCUGGGCCCUCUGCAUUUUCUCUCCCUGAGACAUGAUGUUGCCAAGACCUUGCAGGAGACAACAUAAGAGCUUCGGUUGUGGCUGAGCACUCAACUGCUACAUUCCAGGAACCUUGUGUAGCCAGAAUACCUUGCCUGCAUCACUACUCUCUAGAAACUGAAGUUUCUCUCCAUAAGGCUGAGUGGUGAUUAUCUUGAUGUCUUGUCUAGACUGACCUCAAAUUAUUAUUCCUCCGCCUCCUCCACGAUGGAACCACAGGCAUGCAACAUCAUGCCUAGCUAGGAAGUAGCUGAGUGAAUAUUCUAAGACCUCACUUUGUGAAAACAGACAGCCCAUCAUUACUUCAGCCCAGUAGUCCACUGUGAGGCACCCUGUGAGAGCAGUCUGAGGACUACCAGCUUCUCUGAGGAAGAGAAAGGAUGAAGUGAAAGGAAGAAAUGUUGACUUGUUUCCAGCAUAACUUUACUGUAUGCUUUCUUAAAUAAGAGCAUAAUUGUAAUUGAGCCCAAAAUAUUAAUACUAUU